This 2276-nucleotide long non-coding RNA is filed under the name Nicotiana tabacum (common tobacco). RNAcentral's name for it is "long non-coding RNA (NTAB_LNC014416)". Lineage: Eukaryota; Viridiplantae; Streptophyta; Magnoliopsida; Solanales; Solanaceae. The record is from RNAcentral.
AUAGGAUAAAACAAAAGCUAUAUUUAAGUCUUUUGAGAGAUUACCGGUCUAAUUAAAUGACUCUUAAUCCGUCUUAGCCUAGGAAUGAUGUGGCAGCAUGUCAAAACCCCCGUAACUGCCGGAAUAAAGGGCCAUCACUUCCUUCCACUAUUACUAUAUGUUACUUAAUGCAGACUUUUUCUCCACCCUCUCUCGAAACCGAUGACACGACUUUCUUCCCACUGAUAGAGAAUUACUUUUCUUUCCAUUCAAAAUCAGAGUAAGAGUACAGAUUUUCAACCGGUAGUACCUUCCCUCUCUGUUGCUGCAUCUUCUUAUCCUCCUUUUUUCCUUUUCCCUUCUCCCUUUUUCAUUAGAGUUCCAUCUCUGUCUUUUGAUGUUCAGAUUAUUUUUGCAGAUUUGAUUCAUUAUGUUUUUUGGUCUAAUGUGCCUUGCUCUGUAAAAUUUUGCAACUUUGUUGUUCAAUUUUGUCUCACUGAUUUGCUCAAUCAAAUCACUUAUUUCCUCUUUUCAGGUUUCAGGAAUCGCUCUCUACAUCAAAUCUCGAUUCUCUCGGUCAACAUUCUGAGCGCUAAUCUACCCAUUUGGGUUUUCUGAUUACAACUGCUUCUUGAAUGUGUUUAACUACUUCGGUGAAACACUUCACUUCUUCUCUUUUAUCAUGUUAAUUAAUUCCCUAUUCCCUCUUAUAUUUUGAUUAUUUAUACCUUUGUGACAGAGAUGUGGCCAAGGGCAAAACAAGGGCCUAUAACAGACACUCUUGGAACUUCUAUUGGUUCAUCAUUUAUACUUUACGUAUUAUUUUCAUCUGCUUUUUGUUUUAAUUAUUUUAUGAAUCAUUUAGGGAAAAUGCUUUAUUGUUGUUGGUGACGCCUUUCAACUGUUAGAGAGACUUAUUUUGCCUAUCAUGUAAUGUGGAUUCUACAUUUUAAUUUUCAUGUUAGUAGGUAAAUUUGUCAUUAUUGGCAGCAAGUAUUGCCCUCUCAGGUACCUGUUUAUGUCAUACUGGAUUUUUAUAUAUGGCAAGUGUUAGUACAAGAGAAUUUAUGCAUUUGAAAAUAUAUUAGUUUAAGUACCACGUCGAGGAAACAGGACAACUCAAACUAAUUCAAUGCCAUGUCAUUGCGCGUGCACCUCACUGCUGCUUAUCACUUGCUAACAACUCAAAAUGAUAUGACAAAGGUUGGAUAGCUUAUGAUUUAUCUAUUACACCUCAGAAGGUUGAUAAUGUAUUAGCUAGUAAUUACUGUUAUUCUUCUGCAAUUUCUCAUGUGGAGAAUGUAAACCAUAAGAAGAGGGUCAAGGAACUUGGAGCAUAUGUAAAGAAGUUGUGUCUUUAGCAGAACCUUCAACACAGCACAACCACCAUCAUGCAAAAAUUAAAGUAAGUGUCAUUUUAUCAUUCUUGGACGUAAGGAUCAACGUCAUAAAAAUAUUAAUCGUAAUUUUUCCUACACCGCUCAUCCUAUGUGGCUUCUUUAUCUUUGCCAUAGGAAUAGAAUAAUUUACUGAAUUUUCUGAAAGAUGGUCUUAUUGUUAAGUAGCAGAAACUAAGCAAUUCCUUCAUAGUUAGGGAAGAGCUGGCUUACUUUCGUCAAACUAAUGGAAGAAGCUCUGCGUUAAUUAAUAUUGACAAUCAGUAAAUACGGGAGAACAAGUUGAAGAUUAGUAUUUCUAUUUAACGUGCUUAGGAGGAAUACCAAUGUAACUGUGGAUAGACCUAAUUGUUAUUAGCAUAUUGUUGCUCCAAUUCUUUAAUUUUUAUCAAUUGACAUUGGUUUUCUCAUCAUAUGGAAUAUCUGAUGUAGGGUGCUGGAAUGACAAGACCAAAACCGAUAUUGCAGUCUCAGCAGCUGAAAAAAGCACUUGAGCAGCUCAAAACACAAUGAAUUCAUUGGAAAGAGAACUGCAAGAUAAUUUCUUAAUGUUUCAAUCGUAUUUAAAGAGGGAAAAAAUUAAAAGUUUAAUUCAGUCCUUUAAAAUUCAAAGCAUUCAAAUGGCAAUAAAGUAUGUAGAAUGAGGGGAAUAAUUCUAUAUAAAGAAGAAUAUUUCAUUAAAUUAAAAUGUGAUUUGAUAUCUUGUAGAAUGGUUUUUUUUUCCAACUUUUACUUCUAAAAGCUGUUAGCCACAGAAUUUUAGACAAUGAUAGAUGGAAUCAAGAAGGCAUUAGUCAACUCAUACUCUCUUCUCCUUAUUUCUUUUCUGUUCUACGUAUGUACUUGAUUUGUUGGUAUGAGACCUUGGACUAUUGGCCAUCAGUACACUUACUAAUUUAU